Molecule: long non-coding RNA, 515 nt
Organism: Phyllopteryx taeniolatus (common seadragon)
Lineage: Eukaryota; Metazoa; Chordata; Actinopteri; Syngnathiformes; Syngnathidae
Exons: 2
Source: RefSeq, a predicted model, not a curated record
CGAUGUUGGCCUCCAUCUUGAGCUGCUCCACCAGCUUCCUGGCUUGUGCGAUGCUGGCCGUGUUAUUGCUCGCCAUGGGCACGGUCUGCACGGGAGACAACGGGAUCACGUGACUGCACCGCCGUCAUACGUCGCGUACGUUGCUCCUCAAGUCUUAGAAGCUGACGGAUUAGCUGACAGCAGUGUGAAGAUGGCGCGCGGACCCCCGUGACCCGACGCCAUCGCCCCCCUGCCGACCGUCCUUCCUCCGCAGCGGCAUGACUCGGUGUGGGCUUACGAUUGAUCUCUGUUGGUGCGCUGCGGGUUAAUAAUGAUGGAUGAUAGACACACACACACGCACGCACACACGCCUUCUCAGCAGGUCAAUAAAUAUGCCACACUUGCUGCAAGUUGGUAAAUGACCGUUUUAUCACCCCCUUGACACAAAUAAACACAUUUACAGUGAACUCCCGCCUAUUCAUGUUUUCGCUCUUCACGAAUCCACGAUCGCGUAAUCGAUUAUUCGGAAUAGUGCG